GGCUAGCCUCGGCUUGGUCACUUUUAACUACUAGUUGGUCGUGAGGCUGACGAACGUUGAGUUGGGCUGAGCAAGGCUUUUUGUCUCUAUUCAAACCUUGACCUCAAAUCAGGUAGAACUACCCGCUGAACUUAACAAUAUCAUAACCGGAAGAAAAA
RNAcentral lists this ribosomal RNA (158 nucleotides) under Boletus speciosus. RNAcentral's name for it is "partial 28S ribosomal RNA". The record is from RNAcentral. Lineage: Eukaryota; Fungi; Basidiomycota; Agaricomycetes; Boletales; Boletaceae.